AUGAACGCUGGCGGCGUGCCUAAUACCUGCAAGUCGAGCGAACAGACGAGGAGCUUGCUCCUCUGACGUUAGCGGCGGACGGGUGAGUAACACGUGGAUAACCUACCUAUAAGACUGGAAUAACUUCGGGAAACCGGAGCUAAUACCGGAUAAUAUAUUGAACCGCAUGGUUCAAUAGUGAAAGACGGUUUUGCUGUCACUUAUAGAUGGAUCCGCGCCGCAUUAGCUAGUUGGUAAGGUAACGGCUUACCAAGGCAACGAUGCGUAGCCGACCUGAGAGGGUGAUCGGCCACACUGGAACUGAGACACGGUCCAGACUCCUACGGGAGGCAGCAGUAGGGAAUCUUCCGCAAUGGGCGAAAGCCUGACGGAGCAACGCCGCGUGAGUGAUGAAGGUCUUCGGAUCGUAAAACUCUGUUAUUAGGGAAGAACAAAUGUGUAAGUAACUAUGCACGUCUUGACGGUACCUAAUCAGAAAGCCACGGCUAACUACGUG
Molecule: ribosomal RNA, 496 nt
Filed under: uncultured bacterium
Lineage: Bacteria
Description: partial 16S ribosomal RNA
Rfam family: Bacterial small subunit ribosomal RNA
Source: RNAcentral